UCCCUGGUGGUCCACUGGUUAGGACUCUGCCUUCACUGCCAAGGGUCUGGGUUCAAUUCCUGGUCAGGGAA
This 71-nucleotide transfer RNA is filed under the name Ovis aries (sheep). It matches the Rfam family "tRNA". From Rfam's summary of the family: Transfer RNA (tRNA) molecules are approximately 80 nucleotides in length. The record is from Rfam by way of RNAcentral. Lineage: Eukaryota; Metazoa; Chordata; Mammalia; Artiodactyla; Bovidae.